This 497-nucleotide ribosomal RNA is filed under the name uncultured bacterium. Its description in RNAcentral is "partial 16S ribosomal RNA". It matches the Rfam family "Bacterial small subunit ribosomal RNA", at positions 28 to 507 of the family's 1533-position model. The record is from RNAcentral.
GAUGAACGCUGGCGGCGUGCCUAAUACAUGCAAGUCGAGCGAACGGACGAGAAGCUUGCUUUUCUGAUGUUAGCGGCGGACGGGUGAGUAACACGUGGAUAACCUACCUAUAAGACUGGGAUAACUUCGGGAAACCGGAGCUAAUACCGGAUAAUAUUUUGAACCGCAUGGUUCAAAAGUGAAAGACGGUCUUGCUGUCACUUAUAGAUGGAUCCGCGCUGCAUUAGCUAGUUGGUAAGGUAACGGCUUACCAAGGCAACGAUGCAUAGCCGACCUGAGAGGGUGAUCGGCCACACUGGAACUGAGACACGGUCCAGACUCCUACGGGAGGCAGCAGUAGGGAAUCUUCCGCAAUGGGCGAAAGCCUGACGGAGCAACGCCGCGUGAGUGAUGAAGGUCUUCGGAUCGUAAAACUCUGUUAUUAGGGAAGAACAUAUGUGUAAGUAACUGUGCCCAUCUUGACGGUACCUAAUCAGAAAGCCACGGCUAACUACGUG